ACGAAGGGUGCAAGCGUUACUCGGAAUUACUGGGCGUAAAGGGUGCGUAGGUGGUUUUUUAAGUCUGUUGUGAAAGCCCCGGGCUCAGCCUGGGAAUGGCAAUGGAUACUGGCAGGCUAGAGUGCGGUAGAGGGUAGUGGAAUUCCCGGUGUAGCAGUGAAAUGCGUAGAGAUCGGGAGGAACAUCUGUGGCGAAGGCGACUGCCUGGACCAGCACUGACACUGAGGCACGAAAGCGUGGGGAGCAAACAGGA
Molecule: ribosomal RNA, 253 nt
Filed under: uncultured prokaryote
Description: partial 16S ribosomal RNA
Rfam family: Bacterial small subunit ribosomal RNA
Source: RNAcentral